Molecule: ribosomal RNA, 585 nt
Filed under: Escherichia coli
Lineage: Bacteria; Pseudomonadati; Pseudomonadota; Gammaproteobacteria; Enterobacterales; Enterobacteriaceae
Description: bacterial SSU rRNA
Rfam family: Bacterial small subunit ribosomal RNA
Source: RNAcentral
CGGUAACAGGAAAGCAGCUUGCUGCUUYGCUGACGAGUGGCGGACGGGUGAGUAAUGUCUGGGAAACUGCCUGAUGGAGGGGGAUAACUACUGGAAACGGUAGCUAAUACCGCAUAACGUCGCAAGACCAAAGAGGGGGACCUUCGGGCCUCUUGCCAUCGGAUGUGCCCAGAUGGGAUUAGCUAGUAGGUGGGGUAACGGCUCACCUAGGCGACGAUCCCUAGCUGGUCUGAGAGGAUGACCAGCCACACUGGAACUGAGACACGGUCCAGACUCCUACGGGAGGCAGCAGUGGGGAAUAUUGCACAAUGGGCGCAAGCCUGAUGCAGCCAUGCCGCGUGUAUGAAGAAGGCCUUCGGGUUGUAAAGUACUUUCAGCGGGGAGGAAGGGAGUAAAGUUAAUACCUUUGCUCAUUGACGUUACCCGCAGAAGAAGCACCGGCUAACUCCGUGCCAGCAGCCGCGGUAAUACGGAGGGUGCAAGCGUUAAUCGGAAUUACUGGGCGUAAAGCGCACGCAGGCGGUUUGUUAAGUCAGAUGUGAAAUCCCCGGGCUCAACCUGGGAACUGCAUCUGAUACUGGCAAG